UGAGGAAUAUUGGUCAAUGGGUGCAAGCCUGAACCAGCCAUCCCGCGUGAAGGACGACUGCCCUAUGGGUUGUAAACUUCUUUUGUAUAGGGAUAAACCUACCCUCGUGAGGGUAGCUGAAGGUACUAUACGAAUAAGCACCGGCUAACUCCGUGCCAGCAGCCGCGGUAAUACGGAGGGUGCAAGCGUUAUCCGGAUUUAUUGGGUUUAAAGGGUCCGUAGGCGGACUUAUAAGUCAGUGGUGAAAGCCUGUCGCUUAACGAUAGAACUGCCAUUGAUACUGUAAGUCUUGAGUAUAUUUGAGGUAGCUGGAAUAAGUAGUGUAGCGGUGAAAUGCAUAGAUAUUACUUAGAACACCAAUUGCGAAGGCAGGUUACCAAGAUAUAACCGACGCUGAGGGACGAAAGUGUGGGGAGCGAACAGGAUUAGAUACCCUGGUAGUCCACGCCGUAAACGAUGCUAACUCGUUUUGGGCUUUAGGGUUCAGAGACCAAGCGAAAGUGAUAAGUUAGCCACCUGGGGAGUACGCUCGCAAGAGUGAAACUUAAAGGAAUUGACGGGGUCAUAGCUGUUUCCGU
This 578-nucleotide ribosomal RNA is filed under the name uncultured bacterium. RNAcentral's name for it is "partial 16S ribosomal RNA". It matches the Rfam family "Bacterial small subunit ribosomal RNA", at positions 355 to 938 of the family's 1533-position model. The record is from RNAcentral.